AUGGCCGCACGCUCCUCCGUGGCCCAAUCGUCGCCGCCGCCGGGGAUCCUCGAGCACCAUCAUCCUGGCACGCAGUCCAUGGCCGCCUCCCCAUGCAGUCCCUUUCUUGCUGCCAGCGGAAAUCCUGUCACUCCCUUCCUCUUCUCCUCCUCUUUCUCCAGUGAUCUUUGCUGGAUCCUGCUGCCGUCAACACCAGGCAUCGGAACCCCGGCCCUGCACUCCAUCACCGCGCCCUGUCUUCUUCUUGCUACAGCUGCUCCACAUCACACCUAUUUGCCCAGCAAAAUGCUGCACUUUCGGUGCAAAACCGUCAAAGAUGAACUCAACAAUCUCCGAGGUGAUGGCACAACCAAAAAGUACGAGGAGUGGGACCGUGUGUACCGCUAUGACUACUACAACGACCUCGGUGAGCUGGACAAGGGCUAUCCGCGCCCGGUUCUCGGCGGCACCCAAGAACUCCCCUAUCCCCGUCUUGGCAGAACUGGCCAACCCCCAACAAAAACAGACCCUAGAUUGGAGAGCAGAAUUCCUCAGUACAAGAUAUAG
RNAcentral lists this ribosomal RNA (546 nucleotides) under Triticum aestivum (bread wheat). RNAcentral describes it as "partial small subunit ribosomal RNA". The record is from RNAcentral. Lineage: Eukaryota; Viridiplantae; Streptophyta; Magnoliopsida; Poales; Poaceae.